Molecule: microRNA precursor, 176 nt
Filed under: Oryza nivara
Lineage: Eukaryota; Viridiplantae; Streptophyta; Magnoliopsida; Poales; Poaceae
Description: MIR812 microRNA precursor family
Rfam family: MIR812 microRNA precursor family
Source: Rfam by way of RNAcentral
GACAAAGGGAGUAUAAGUUUCCAUGUCCAACUUUGAUCUUUCGUCUUAUUUGAAAUUUUUCUAUAAUUAGCAUACUUAUUGUUAUUAGAUGAUAAAAUAUGAGUAAUACUUUAUGCAUAUUUUUUUAAAAAAAUAAAACUAACGAUUAAAAUUAGUCAUGUAAAUACGCAUGGAUA